This 253-nucleotide ribosomal RNA is filed under the name uncultured bacterium. RNAcentral's name for it is "partial 16S ribosomal RNA". It matches the Rfam family "Bacterial small subunit ribosomal RNA", at positions 524 to 776 of the family's 1533-position model. The record is from RNAcentral.
UACGUAGGGGGCAAGCGUUGUCCGGAUUUAUUGGGCGUAAAGAGCGUGUAGGCGGCCUGGUAGGUCAGCUGUGAAAACUCGAGGCUCAACCUCGAGACGCCGGUUGAAACCAUCAGGCUAGAGUCCGGAAGAGGAGAGUGGAAUUCCCGGUGUAGCGGUGAAAUGCGCAGAUAUCAGGAAGAACACCAAUGGCGAAGGCAGCUCUCUGGGACGGUACUGACACUGAGACGCGAAAGCGUGGGGAGCGAACAGG